RNAcentral lists this ribosomal RNA (301 nucleotides) under uncultured bacterium. Its description in RNAcentral is "partial 16S ribosomal RNA". It matches the Rfam family "Bacterial small subunit ribosomal RNA", at positions 509 to 807 of the family's 1533-position model. The record is from RNAcentral.
CAGUCGCCACGGUAAAACGGAGGGGGCUAGCGUUGUUCGGAAUUACUGGGCGUAAAGCGCACGUAGGCGGCUGUGUAAGUCAGAGGUGAAAGCCCGUGGCUCAACCCCGGAAUAGCCUUUGAGACUGCAUAGCUUGAACACGGGAGAGGUGAGUGGAAUUCCGAGUGUAGAGGUGAAAUUCGUAGAUAUUCGGAAGAACACCAGUGGCGAAGGCGGCUCACUGGACCGUUGUUGACGCUGAGGUGCGAAAGCGUGGGGAGCAAACAGGAUUAGAUACCCCAGUAGUCCCUGUCUCUUAUAC